RNAcentral lists this long non-coding RNA (1719 nucleotides) under Homo sapiens (human). Its description in RNAcentral is "HSALNT0087971". The record is from RNAcentral. Lineage: Eukaryota; Metazoa; Chordata; Mammalia; Primates; Hominidae.
CUUUAAAUGUGAAAUUAUUCCUUGAUCCAUGGGGUACAGAAUCAGAAUGGAUGUUGUAUUAGAAGACAUGAAAACAUUAAUCUCCUCUUACAUCUUUUUUUUGGCGGGGGGAUGUGGUGCUUGAAUGGAUCCUGGAGUCGGCCAUUGCUCAAGCACACCACCAAACAGUGCCCUUGCAAAGCAGGCCUCAUCCCUGUCCACCGGGCCCAGCACCUCCCGGGUCUACCUCAUCUCAGACAACCCUGCUACUCUGAAUCCUGAUUUGAAAUCUUGGUGAAGGUGUUUAGACCCCACCUGAGGAGCUGUACAUAACAAAAGCCCUCAAUGCCACUAAACCAAUGGGAGAGGGGUAAGAGUACAAAGAAUUUAAAACCACAAUAGACUCAUAUUAUUCUAUUACCAGUAGAUAGAAAUCAAAUACGUUUUAUCAAUUUGAAGAACGUUUUCCACGUCAUCCAGUCACCCAGGCCACAAGAUCCUCAGUGACGACAGAUAAUUAUGAAAUUAGUUGUAUUAUUGAUACUGCUUUUUCCUGGGUAUUGGCUUCCCAGAGUUACUGAGAGAAUGAUGGAAUAAAGCAUCGACUUUGUCAUAUAGAGCCAUGUAUUACAAGUAAAACUUGCUGUUUCAAAAUCUUUUCCUUCUCUUUCAAAAAAACUAUCAUUUUCUUCUCUCUGAGCAGUUUUUGAUAGAGUUCAUCAUUAGCAGGGGCCUCAAAACAGAACAUUGCAAAUCAUGUCAGUUUCAGAAUGAUUUUUUUUUUUUGGCUUGCUGAUGGCAAACUGCAAUGUGAAUUUCUGCAAGAGCACAGUGCCAUGUCAUAAAUCAUUAGUCUGGCUUCAGAGUCUCUUGCUAUUUUCCCUACAUGGAGGACAGAUGCUUUUUUGUUGAAUCAGGACCAUAAUUUGCAUCUGGUAGGACAAUGGAUCAUAUUCUCUUCUGUCCACACACAGAGCCGCAUUGACAACAGCAAGAGUUGCUCAGAGAUAGAGGCAAAGUUUGGCUCAGCCAGUGCUAAAUUCAGCUUGAUUUUUAAAAGUAAAUGACCCAGUUAAAAUCCAGUGAAGAGCAAAGCACAUAGUGGAUUUGGAAGUUUCCUUUGAAAUUUCCAGCUCAGUGUAUGAAGUAACUCCAGACUCUAAUGAGCCUCUCCGACUGCAAGCAACUAAGACCCAAAAUGAUUGUCUGUAUCAGAUCCAGGGCUUUCUGUGACAGCAGACAAUUUAUUGUUAUGCUUUACACCCUGGUUUUCCAUCUGUGAUUGAUGUGUGCUCUUCCGCUUUCAAAAGACUUUUCUAAUAGUCACGUUUCUUCCAACUGACCCUGCAAGAUGAGUCAAAAUUUCCAUACUUAGGAAUCCCAGCUACUUAGGAAGCUGAGGCAGAAGAAUCUCUGUAACCUGAAAGGCGGAGGUUGCAGUGAGCUGCGAUCACACCACUGCACACCAGCCUGGGCGACAGAGCGAGACUCCGUCUCAAAAAUAAAUAAAUAAAUAAAUAAGGAGAUGGUUAUACAAUUGCAUUCUUCUCAACUUAAAAGCCUCUCUCUGAGCUGGAUGCGGCCAUUCACGCCUGUAAUCCCAGCACUUUGGGAGGCUGAGGCGGGUGGAUUGCCUGAGGUCAGGAGUUCGAGACCAGCCUGCCCAACAUAGUGAAACCCCAUCUCUACUAGAAAUACAAAAAAUUAUCUGGGCAUGGUGGCACGCAACUGUAAUCCCAG